CCUGCCAAGCACUGUGCCGAACCCUGGCCAUGGAUCAUCUUAUGUUACUCUCACAGUGUUGGGUGCUUUAUUACCCAUUAUUUUCCCCAUGUGACAGACAAAGAAACUAAGGCUCAGAGAGAGUAAGAUCGCAGGAGAGGUCUCACAGAGAGAUGGUAAGGAAUAGGGUGUGAAAGCAGCCCAUGUUUGGAACCACUACAUCACCCAGUAAAUAGUUUUUCCCAAAUACCUCCUUUCUUAUCCACUCUCACAAGGAUGUCUCUGGCCCCACCACACUCUCUUUUGGAUGCGUGCAGGCUCCUCACAGGACCCAAAGGCCAAGAAUACUCACCCUGGAGAGCUGCCGGGUGCCUCUGGACAUGCUGGGAGGGGGAGGUUAGCAGGAAGCAGAACCCGGUCAAGUAUAUGUUUCCCUUGCACACAUGGUACACAGUGGGGCCACAGGCCUGGGGAAAGAAAGGACCAGUAGGAGAGAUGGUCCCUACUUCCUUUCCACCCCAACUCCUCCACCUUCCCCAAGACUCCCAGCCCCAGCAGCCCCCCAUGCCCACUCUUCCCUUUAAGACCCUCUUGUGACCAAAGCAACUCACCAGCAACUGAGUGGUGUUGGUGGUGGUCGCCAGGGACAGGCCCAUGGACAUGUUCACAAACUCUGGGGGAACUAACAGGACAGAUAUGUACAUGGUCACACUCAGGGGCACAGAGAGAACUAUAGUCACCACAGCCAUGGAAGACAAGGUGGUCUGAAAUGCCAAGGGGACUUCCAGGCAUUGGCAGAGUUGUGGGGGUGUAGAGGUACAAUGGGCAGGGAACACUUGAUGGAAGCUUGCCUGAGGAUGAAGAGUCUGCAGACAAAGCUGAAGCUGGGAAGCAGGACUGCUGGCCUCCCACAGGCCCCCAGACCUGGAUCCAGAAAGGGGCAGUGACUCACCCGGCAGGGAAGGGGCUCACACUUGUCCAUGCUGUAGGCACAUUGGUAGAGACCACCUGUUUGGUUGGCAGCCUUUGUCUCCUGGGGGGCUCCAACCACCACCGUAUGGGGAGAAUUAGAACAUUGCAGGUAAGAGUGUGGACUCUGGAGCCAGACUGCCACUUGGCAAGUUUACUUCACAUCUCUGAAAAUAACAAUUAAACCUCCACAUGGGGAGAAAAUUGUGAGUUUUAUUUUUUACUGUAUGCCCAGUUCCUGAGACAGUGUCUGGCCUAUGUAGGCACUCAACAGGUAUUUCUUGGAUGAAUGAUUCCUACCUCAAAGUGUUGAUAUGAGAAUUAAAGCAGUGUCUACAUAUAACAUGCUUGGCACAAUGCCUGGCCCUUAGUAAGGGCUCAAUAAAUGUGAACUAUGAUUAUUGUGAUUAUUGUGAUGGCAAGACAGCUUCUGUUUUCUGUCUAAAUACUCACAAGCUUGGGGGAAUUGCCACACCAGACAGAGAAGAGAGUUUGCAAAUGUGGGGAGGCAGAUGGGGAAGGACAGAACCCUUCGGCAGGAAGAAGAGCUGGUGAGAGCCAAAGGUCAGUCACUGCCAGUCCUCACCAGGAGUCAGCAUACCGCACCACACUGUGUCCAAACCCAGCGCUGUCCAUGUGGAAGGCUGCUGGCUUGUCCUUGUCCAAGUUGAAACAGAGAGAAGAAGGUUCCGUGGUACUUCCCUCAGUUCCCGUCUUCAGAGGCAGCCCCAGGAGGUGAGCAGGUCAAGCAGAGCUGGAGCCCAAGUUACAGGAAGUAUGUACAACCUUGGGCAGGUUAAUGUAGCCUGGAUUGUCAGUCUGCAAAAUGGGAACGAUAACGGCCACCUCACCAGCAGCUGUGAAGGAUUUAAAGAGAAUUGUAUAGGCCUUAAGGAUAAGACUUACUCAGUCCAUUGUACGAGACCACUACUAUAAAAACUCAUGUAAAGGUUUACACACAAAAAGAAACUAUCUUUGAUGGUUACAAGGGAGGAAAGGGGUGGGGGAUGGAAAAAGACUAAAUAGACAACAGAUAAGUGUUAACUUUGGUGAAGGGUAAGACAGCACACAAUACUGGGGAAGACAGUGCAACUUGUACAGGGCAAGGUCAUGGAAGCUCCACAGACACAUCCAAACACCCUGAGGAACCGAAUUGCUGGGCUGAAGGCUGUGGAGGCCGUGGUCUCGGGGAACAUCUAGCUCAAUUGGCAUAACAUAGUUUAUAAAGAAAAUGUUCUAUAUUCUACUUUGGUGAGUAGUGUCUGGGGUCUUAGAAGCCUGUGAGUGGCCGUCUAGGAUACUCCACUGGUCUCACUCCUUCGGGAGCAAGGAAGAAUGAGGAAAACUAAAGAUAUAAGGAAAAGAUUAGUCCAAAGAACUAAUGGACCACAUCGCCACAGUCUCCACCAGACUGAGUUCAGUACAGCUAAAUGGUGCCUGGCUACCACCACUGACUGCUCUGACAGGGAUCAAAAUAGAGGGUCCCAGACAGAGCUGGAGAAAAAUGUAGAACAAAAUUCUAACUCAAAAAGAAAGACCAGGCUUGCUGGCCUGACAGAGACUGGAGAAACCUUGACAGCAUGGCCUCCAGACAUCCUGUCAGUUCAGUAAUGAAGUCACUCCUGAGGUUCAUUCUUCAGCCAAAGAUUGGACAGGCCCAUAAAACAAAAUGAGACUAAAGGGGCACACCAGCCCUGGGGCAAGGACUAGAAGGCAGGAGGCGACAUGAAAGCUGGUAGUAGGGAACCCAAGGUUGAGAAGGGAGAGUGUUGACAUGUCGUGGGGCUGUUAACCAAUGUCAUAAAACAACAUGUGUACUGUUUAAUGAGAAACUAGUGUGUUCUGUAAACCUUCAUCUAAAGUACAAUAGAAAAAAAAAAAAAAGACCUAUUCAGUCCUGAUUUAGCUAGUGUCUGGUCAUGACAUGCCCGCUCAAAAAAAAAAAAAAAAAGGGAACCAUUUUUGGAAGUUUAGGGUCAUGGUUUCACGGGACUUCCCAGUUAAUUGGAGUAAUAACAUAUUUAGUGCUUCUGUUCUAUCUCUUAGUUUGUAGCAUAGUGCCUGAGGUCUUAAAAGCUUGCAAGUGGCCGUUAAAGUCAGGACAAUUGGUCUCUAUUCACCUGGAGCAACAGAGGAAAAAGGAGAGUCAGGAAUAGGGGGAGGAUAUGGAAUGUGUGAACAGCUACCUCUUUGCCAUGAGACCAGAACUGAACAGUGCCCGGCUACUGUUACUGAAUAUUUUGAUCAAAUAUUCUAUAGAAGAAUCCUGAGUAAAAGAGGGAAAAUGCAGAACAGGAUUUCAAAUCCUCAUGGACUUCAGACUUUCUGGAGCCAUGGAGGCUGGAUGAACUCCUGAAACUGUUACCCUGAGAUAAUCUUUAAACCUUAAGCAAAAAUAUCUCCUGGAGUCUUCUUAAAACCAAACGAUAAAAAAAAAACAAAAAAAACGAUAGUAUAUCUUAACUGGUAAAAAAUGUCUGCCUUGAGAUUUAUGCUCUUUUAAGAGCUAUUUAUAUGACACGCACACGCACACACACACAAAGAGAAUCUGCUUAUGUACAACCAAAAUCCUCAUAGGAUUUGGUUUCUUGACUUGGAGGUUUAGGGUCAUGGUUUCAUGGGACAUCCCAGUUUAUUGGCCUAAUAACAUAUUUAGUGCUUCUGUUCUACCACCUAGUUGGUUGUGUACUGUUUGGGGUGCUAAAAGCUUGCAACCAGCCAUCCAAGGCACAAUUGAUCUCUAGUCACUUGGAGCAACAGAGGAAGAAGGAGUGUCAGUAAUAGAAGGAGCACAUGGAAUAUGCUCGUAGUUGUCUCCCCAUGAACAACUACCUCCUUUGCCAUGAGACCAGAAGAACUGGAUGAUGCCUGGCUACCAUUACUGAACAUUUUGAUCAAAGAUCCUAUAGAGGAAUCCUGAUCAAAAGGGGAAAAAUGCAGAACAGAACUUCAAAUUUUCCUGAAAGUUAGAAGAACUUCUGAAAGUAUUGCCCUGAGAUAAUCUUUACACCUUAAACCAAAAUAUCACCUGAAGUCUCCUUAAAACCAAACAAUAGUUUAGUUUAACUAGUAAAAAAUGUCUGCCUUGAGCAUUAUGCACUUUUAAGAACUAACUGUAUGAGGUCAAAUUUCAACAGCAACUUGAAAGAUUAGAUAGGAACCUUAGGGGGUGGCGAAUUUAUGUUAAUGGAGGAGAAGGGUGAGAAUAGUUGCACAACUCAAAGAAUGUAGUCAAUGUCACUAAAUGGGACAUAUAGAAACUGUUGAAUUGCUGUAUAUCUCACUAUGUAUAUUCUCAAAAAAAAGUAAUACAUAAUAGUAUUAUUAUGAAGAUCAAAUGCAAUAACGUGCAUAAACUGUUUGAAAUAAAAAAGUUCUCAAUAAACAUCAGAGGCUAUUAGUACUACAAAAAAAAAAAAAAAGGAAC
Loxodonta africana (African savanna elephant) is the source of this 4375-nucleotide long non-coding RNA. RefSeq lists it as uncharacterized. Lineage: Eukaryota; Metazoa; Chordata; Mammalia; Proboscidea; Elephantidae. The record is from RefSeq and is a predicted model, not a curated record. The transcript has 2 exons.